Molecule: ribosomal RNA, 507 nt
Filed under: uncultured Oscillibacter sp.
Lineage: Bacteria; Bacillati; Bacillota; Clostridia; Eubacteriales; Oscillospiraceae
Description: partial 16S ribosomal RNA
Source: RNAcentral
CACGUAGUUAGCCGUGGCUUAUUCAAGGGGUACCGUCUUCUACUCUUCCCCCUUAAAAGAAGUUUACAACCCGAAAGCCUUCUUCCUUCACGCGGCGUUGCUGGGUCAGACUUGCGUCCAUUGCCCAAUAUUCCCCCACUGCUGCCUCCCGUAGGAGUCUGGGCCGUAUCUCAGUCCCAAUGUGGCCGGCCAACCUCUCAGUCCGGCUACUGAUCGUCGCCUUGGUGGGCCGUUACCUCACCAACUAGCUAAUCAGACGCGAGGCCAUCUUCCAGCGAUAAAUCUUUGACAUCAAAGCCAUGCGACUUCAAUGCAUCAUGCGGUAUUAGCAGUCGUUUCCAACUGUUGUCCCCCUCUGGAAGGCAGGUUCCUCACGCGUUACUCACCAGUCCGCCACUAAGCAUUCCCAUCCGUUGUCCGAAAACUUCCUUCAGGGGGUGCUCCGUUCGACUUGCAUGUGUUAAGCACGCCGCCAGCGUUCGUCCUGACGCACGGAGUCAAACUCUA